GAUUGAACGCUAGCGGCAUGCUUAACACAUGCAAGUCGAACGGCAGCGCGGGGAGCUUGCUCCCUGGCGGCGAGUGGCGGACGGGUGAGUAAUGCGUAGGAAUCUACCUUGUAGUGGGGGAUAACCUUGGGAAACUAAGGCUAAUACCGCAUACGCCCUACGGGGGAAAGCAGGGGAUCUUCGGACCUUGCGCUAAAAGAUGAGCCCGCGUCGGAUUAGCUUGUUGGUGGGGUAAUGGCCUACCAAGGCGACGAUCCGUAGCUGGUCUGAGAGGACGAUCAGCCACACUGGGACUGAGACACGGCCCAGACUCCUACGGGAGGCAGCAGUGGGGAAUAUUGGACAAUGGGGGAAACCCUGAUCCAGCAAUGCCGCGUGUGUGAAGAAGGCCUUCGGGUUGUAAAGCACUUUCGGUGGGAAAGAAAUUCUCAAGGGUAAUAUCCUUGGGCGUUGACGUUACCCACAGAAGAAGCACUGGCUAACUCUGUGCCAGCAGCCGCGGUAAUACAGAGAGUGCAAGCGUUAAUCGGAAUCACUGGGCGUAAAGCGCGCGUAGGUGGAUAUUUAAGUCGGAUGUGAAAGCCCUGGGCUUAACCUAGGAGUUGCACCCGAUACUGGGUAUCUUGAGUAUGGUAGAGGGAAGUGGAAUUUCCGGUGUAGCGGUGAAAUGCGUAGAUAUCGGAAAGAACACCAGUGGCGAAGGCGACUUCCUGGACCAAUACUGACACUGAGGCGCGAAAGCGUGGGGAGCAAACAGGAUUAGAGACCCUGGUAGUCCACGCCGUCAACGAUGAGAACUAGCUGUUGGGAAGUUCACUUCUUAGUAGCGAAGUUAACGCGUUAAGUUCUCCGCCUGGGGAGUACGGCCGCAAGGUUAAAACUCAAAGAAAUUGACGGGGGCCCGCACAAGCGGUGGAGCAUGUGGUUUAAUUCGAUGCCAACAGCCAUGCAGCACCUACCCUUGACAUCCUCGGAACUUGUCAGAGAUGACUUGGUGCCUUCGGGAACCGAGUGACAGGUGCUGCAUGGCUGUCGUCAGCUCGUGUCGUGAGAUGUUGGGUUAAGUCCCGUAACGAGCGCAACCCUCGUCCUUAGUUGCCAGCGAGUCAUGUCGGGAACUCUAAGGAGACUGCCGGCGAUAAACCGGAGGAAGGUGGGGAUGAUGUCAAGUCAUCAUGGCCCUUACGGGUAGGGCUACACACGUGCUACAAUGGGCAGUACAAAGGGUUGCUAAGCUGCGAGGUGGAGCUAAUCCCAGAAAACUGCUCGUAGUCCGGAUUGGAGUCUGCAACUCGACUCCAUGAAGUUGGAAUCGCUAGUAAUCGCGGAUCAGCAUGUCGCGGUGAAUACGUUCUCGGGCCUCAAACACACCGCCCGUCUGACCAUGGGAGUGAAUUGUACCAGAAGCGGGUAGGCUAACCUUCGGGGGGCCGCUCACCACGGUAUGAGCCAUGACUGGGGUGAA
Molecule: ribosomal RNA, 1465 nt
Filed under: uncultured Coxiella sp.
Lineage: Bacteria; Pseudomonadati; Pseudomonadota; Gammaproteobacteria; Legionellales; Coxiellaceae
Description: bacterial SSU rRNA
Rfam family: Bacterial small subunit ribosomal RNA
Source: RNAcentral